Molecule: ribosomal RNA, 516 nt
Filed under: uncultured bacterium
Lineage: Bacteria
Description: bacterial SSU rRNA
Rfam family: Bacterial small subunit ribosomal RNA
Source: RNAcentral
AGGGUUCGAUUCUGGCUCAGGAUGAACGCUAGCUACAGGCUUAGCACAUGCAAGUCGAGGGGCAGCAUGGUCUAGCAAUAGACUGAUGGCGACCGGCGCACGGGUGAGUAACACGUAUCCAACCUACCGGCUAUUCCGGGAUAGCCUUUCGAAAGAAAGAUUAAUACCGGAUAGCAUAGCGAGAAGGCAUCUUCUUGCUAUUAAAGAAUUUCGAUAACCGAUGGGGAUGCGUUCCAUUAGUUUGUUGGCGGGGUAACGGCCCACCAAGACAUCGAUGGAUAGGGGUUCUGAGAGGAAGGUCCCCCACAUUGGAACUGAGACACGGUCCAAACUCCUACGGGAGGCAGCAGUGAGGAAUAUUGGUCAAUGGACGAGAGUCUGAACCAGCCAAGUAGCGUGAAGGAUGACUGCCCUAUGGGUUGUAAACUUCUUUUAUAUGGGAAUAAAGUGAGCCACGUGUGGCUUUUUGUAUGUACCAUACGAAUAAGGAUCGGCUAACUCCGUGCCAGCCGCUGC